This 360-nucleotide ribosomal RNA is filed under the name Escherichia coli. RNAcentral's name for it is "partial 23S ribosomal RNA". It matches the Rfam family "Bacterial large subunit ribosomal RNA", at positions 2263 to 2622 of the family's 2925-position model. The record is from RNAcentral. Lineage: Bacteria; Pseudomonadati; Pseudomonadota; Gammaproteobacteria; Enterobacterales; Enterobacteriaceae.
GGGUAGUUUGACUGGGGCGGUCUCCUCCUAAAGAGUAACGGAGGAGCACGAAGGUUGGCUAAUCCUGGUCGGACAUCAGGAGGUUAGUGCAAUGGCAUAAGCCAGCUUGACUGCGAGCGUGACGGCGCGAGCAGGUGCGAAAGCAGGUCAUAGUGAUCCGGUGGUUCUGAAUGGAAGGGCCAUCGCUCAACGGAUAAAAGGUACUCCGGGGAUAACAGGCUGAUACCGCCCAAGAGUUCAUAUCGACGGCGGUGUUUGGCACCUCGAUGUCGGCUCAUCACAUCCUGGGGCUGAAGUAGGUCCCAAGGGUAUGGCUGUUCGCCAUUUAAAGUGGUACGCGAGCUGGGUUUAGAACGUCGU